RNAcentral lists this ribosomal RNA (451 nucleotides) under uncultured bacterium. Its description in RNAcentral is "partial 16S ribosomal RNA". It matches the Rfam family "Bacterial small subunit ribosomal RNA", at positions 29 to 523 of the family's 1533-position model. The record is from RNAcentral.
AGCGAACGCUGGCGGCAGGCUUAACACAUGCAAGUCGAGCGGGCACCUUCGGGUGUCAGCGGCGGACGGGUGAGUAACGCGUGGGAACGUGCCUUCUGGUUCGGAAUAACUCAGGGAAACUUGAGCUAAUACCGGAUACGCCCUUUUGGGGAAAGGUUUACUGCCGGAAGAUCGGCCCGCGUCUGAUUAGCUCGUUGGUGGGGUAACGGCCUACCAAGGCGACGAUCAGUAGCUGGUCUGAGAGGAUGAUCAGCCACACUGGGACUGAGACACGGCCCAGACUCCUACGGGAGGCAGCAGUGGGGAAUAUUGGACAAUGGGCGCAAGCCUGAUCCAGCCAUGCCGCGUGAGUGAUGAAGGCCUUAGGGUUGUAAAGCUCUUUUAUCCGGGACGAUAAUGACGGUACCGGAGGAAUAAGCCCCGGCUAACUUCGUGCCAGCCGCCGCCGUAA